CCGCAAGCCUCCAGCGGGCCUGGGUCUGGAGUGACCCAGCGCAUUCCUGUAGCCAGAACGGUUUUGAAACAGUUUGAGGCCUUGCUCAGCACCAUCCCUGGGGCGAGGUUGUAGACAUUUCAGACAGAU
Small nucleolar RNA from Echinops telfairi (small Madagascar hedgehog), 129 nucleotides. RefSeq annotates it as small nucleolar RNA SNORA9. The transcript has a single exon. The record is from RefSeq and is a predicted model, not a curated record. Lineage: Eukaryota; Metazoa; Chordata; Mammalia; Afrosoricida; Tenrecidae.